GUCUUCAAUGAUUCUUGCCUUUGAUAUCUCGUCUCUGAGCCUAUAUAUCCUUGACACAUUGAGAGAUGAAGAGAUACGAGUGAUACAACCCUUCUUUCUUCCUUCUGGUUUUCGAUUGCUCUGCUGUGAGCAAAAUCGAAGUCUUCGUGAGUGAGGGAAAAAUCUGAUCUGGGUUUUAUACACUGUGGGAAACCAUAUCCUUCGUGGGUUGGGUUGGGACUGAGAUUGUGAGGGUAUUCUGGCUGCAAGGCUUGUGAGGAAGGAAAUCUGACACCGGAAGUGGAGCUGCCACCGACUGGGCCUUGGACGUGGACACGCGAUCGGAGGACUGAGCCGUAGCCGUUGUCAACCACUUCUCAAUACAGAUCUAGGGAUCUGUCAAGAUUUGUUCAUUUCCCUUGUUUUCUUUUUAUUUUAUUUAUUUAUAUAUAUAAUCUGUAUUCCUAAUACCCCUACUCUCAUAGGUAUUCAAAUUCUUGUAUCAUUUGUUAUUUUUCUUUAUGAUCUGUAAUUUAAUCGCUAUUUGAACGACCACCCAACACAUAUUUCCAUGAUUUAUGCCCUUGUCGGGAUCUGUUUAAAUUUCUGCUUUGUUGGAGUUUAUUUAGUUUUAUGCUUUGUUAGGA
This 626-nucleotide long non-coding RNA is filed under the name Erythranthe guttata (spotted monkey flower). RNAcentral describes it as "long non-coding RNA (EGUT_LNC003834)". Lineage: Eukaryota; Viridiplantae; Streptophyta; Magnoliopsida; Lamiales; Phrymaceae. The record is from RNAcentral.